UACGAACUGUGCAAACGUUCUUCGGAAUCCCUGGGCUUAAAGGGUGCGUAGGCGGCUCAUUAAGUAGGGUGUGAAAGCCCCCGGCUCAACCGGGGAAUUGCGCUCUAAACUGAUGGGCUGGAGUGAGAUAGGGGUGUGUGGAACUUCCGGUGGAGCGGUGAAAUGUGUUGAUAUCGGAAGGAACGCCGGUGGCGAAAGCGACACACUGGGUCUCAACUGACGCUGAGGCACGAAAGCCAGGGGAGCAAACGGG
RNAcentral lists this ribosomal RNA (253 nucleotides) under uncultured bacterium. Its description in RNAcentral is "partial 16S ribosomal RNA". It matches the Rfam family "Bacterial small subunit ribosomal RNA", at positions 524 to 776 of the family's 1533-position model. The record is from RNAcentral.